CACGUGAAAUUCCGUCGGAAUCUGGGAGGACCAUCUCCUAAGGCUAAAUACUCUCUAGUGACCGAUAGUGAACCAGUACCGUGAGGGAAAGGUGAAAAGCACCCCGGAAGGGGAGUGAAAUAGAACCUGAAACCGUGUGCUUACAAGUAGUCAGAGCCCGUUAAUGGGUGAUGGCGUGCCUUUUGUAGAAUGAACCGGCGAGUUACGAUUUGAUGCAAGGUUAAGCAGUAAAUGUGGAGCCGUAGCGAAAGCGAGUCUGAAUAGGGCGUUUAGUAUUUGGUCGUAGACCCGAAACCAGGUGAUCUACCCUUGGUCAGGUUGAAGUUCAGGUAACACUGAAUGGAGGACCGAACCGACUUACGUUGAAAAGUGAGCGGAUGAACUGAGGGUAGCGGAGAAAUUCCAAUCGAACCUGGAGAUAGCUGGUUCUCUCCGAAAUAGCUUUAGGGCUAGCCUCAAGUGAUGAUUAUUGGAGGUAGAGCACUGUUUGGACGAGGGGCCCCUCUCGGGUUACCGAAUUCAGACAAACUCCGAAUGCCAAUUAAUUUAACUUGGGAGUCAGAACAUGGGUGAUAAGGUCCGUGUUCGAAAGGGAAACAGCCCAGACCACCAGCUAAGGUCCCAAAAUAUAUGUUAAGUGGAAAAGGAUGUGGCGUUGCCCAGACAACUAGGAUGUUGGCUUAGAAGCAGCCAUCAUUUAAAGAGUGCGUAAUAGCUCACUAGUCGAGUGACACUGCGCCGAAAAUGUACCGGGGCUAAACAUAUUACCGAAGCUGUGGAUUGUCCUUUGGACAAUGGUAGGAGAGCGUUCUAAGGGCGUUGAAGCAUGAUCGUAAGGACAUGUGGAGCGCUUAGAAGUGAGAAUGCCGGUGUGAGUAGCGAAAGACGGGUGAGAAUCCCGUCCACCGAUUGACUAAGGUUUCCAGAGGAAGGCUCGUCCGCUCUGGGUUAGUCGGGUCCUAAGCUGAGGCCGACAGGCGUAGGCGAUGGAUAACAGGUUGAUAUUCCUGUACCACCUAUAAUCGUUUUAAUCGAUGGGGGGACGCAGUAGGAUAGGCGAAGCGUGCGAUUGGAUUGCACGUCUAAGCAGUAAGGCUGAGUAUUAGGCAAAUCCGGUACUCGUUAAGGCUGAGCUGUGAUGGGGAGAAGACAUUGUGUCUUCGAGUCGUUGAUUUCACACUGCCGAGAAAAGCCUCUAGAUAGAAAAUAGGUGCCCGUACCGCAAACCGACACAGGUAGUCAAGAUGAGAAUUCUAAGGUGAGCGAGCGAACUCUCGUUAAGGAACUCGGCAAAAUGACCCCGUAACUUCGGGAGAAGG
This 1319-nucleotide ribosomal RNA is filed under the name Staphylococcus aureus. RNAcentral's name for it is "partial 23S ribosomal RNA". It matches the Rfam family "Bacterial large subunit ribosomal RNA", at positions 423 to 1746 of the family's 2925-position model. The record is from RNAcentral. Lineage: Bacteria; Bacillati; Bacillota; Bacilli; Caryophanales; Staphylococcaceae.